CCCUGUAACAGUAACACAUGCUAAAUACUGAAUCUUAUCUUCCACUAUCAUGGCAUAUGCUUGAUUAAUAGUAGGGGUAACUCCUUUCAACAAUAUCUGCCUUCGAGCCUGCUCAUAUGAAUCAUUUAAAUCACUCAGGAAUUGAAUCAAUCUCAGCUGAUAUAAAUGGUCUGCAUAAUCUUUCAACUUCGGAUAAAUACAAGUUGGGGCUGGAAUAACAACAUCAUACUCAUUCCACAGAUUCUUCAACUUUGUGAAGUAAGUAGACACUGAAUCAGUUCCUUGUGUAAGUGUAUUAAUCUCUUUGUGCAGCUGAUAGAGUCUCAUAUGAUUCACUUUGUCAAAUUGUUCUCUUAGAUCUUCCCACACCUCAAAA
RNAcentral lists this long non-coding RNA (376 nucleotides) under Solanum tuberosum (potato). RNAcentral describes it as "long non-coding RNA (STUB_LNC005980)". The record is from RNAcentral. Lineage: Eukaryota; Viridiplantae; Streptophyta; Magnoliopsida; Solanales; Solanaceae.